GUAGUUAGCCGGGGCUUUCUUACAGGGUACCGUCACUUCUUCGUCCCCUGCGACAGAGGUUUACAAUCCGAAAACCUUCUUCCCUCACGCGGCGUUGCUGGGUCAGGCUUGCGCCCAUUGCCCAAUAUUCCCCACUGCUGCCUCCCGUAGGAGUCUGGACCGUGUCUCAGUUCCAGUGUGGCCGAUCAGCCUCUCAGCUCGGCUACCCAUCGUCGGCUUGGUGGGCUGUUAUCUCACCAACUACCUAAUGGGACGCGAACCCCUCUAAAAGCGAUAAAUCUUUGACCUCUUCCCGAUGCCGGGUUGUGGUCUUAUGCGGUAUUAGCAGUUGUUUCCACCUGUUAUUCCCCACUCUUAGGCAGGUUGUUCACGCGUUACUCACCCGUGCGCCACUAGAAUUAUCAAUUCCAUCCGAAAACUUCCUUAAUAAUCCCCGUUCGACUUGCAUGUGUUAGGCACGCCGCCAGCGUUCGUCCUGAGCCAUAAUCAAACUCUGA
Molecule: ribosomal RNA, 497 nt
Filed under: uncultured bacterium
Lineage: Bacteria
Description: partial 16S ribosomal RNA
Source: RNAcentral